This 468-nucleotide ribosomal RNA is filed under the name uncultured bacterium. RNAcentral describes it as "partial 16S ribosomal RNA". It matches the Rfam family "Bacterial small subunit ribosomal RNA", at positions 28 to 507 of the family's 1533-position model. The record is from RNAcentral.
GACGAACGCUGGCGGCGUGCUUAACACAUGCAAGUCGAACGGAAAGGCCCUGCUUUUGUGGGGUGCUCGAGUGGCGAACGGGUGAGUAUCACGUGAGUAACCUGCCCUUGACUUUGGGAUAACUUCAGGAAACUGGGGCUAAUAUCGGAUAGGAGAUCCUGCUGCAUGGUGGGGGUUGGAAAGUUUCGGCGGUUGGGGAUGGACUCGAGGCUUAUCAGCUUGUUGGUGGGGUGGUGGCUUACCAAGGCUUUGACGGGUAGCCGGCCUGCGAGGGUGACCGGCCACAUUGGGACUGAGAUACGGCCCGGACUCCUACGGGAGGCAGCAGUGGGAAAUAUUGCACGAUGGGCGGAAGCCUGAUGCAGCAACGCCGCGUGCGGGAUGACGGCCGUCGGGUUGUAAACCGCUUUCGCCUGUGACGAAGCGUGAGUGACGGUAAUGGGUAAAGAAGCACCGGCUAACUACGUG